GAUGAACGCUGGCGGCGUGCCUAAUACAUGCAAGUCGAGCGAACGGACGAGAAGCUUGCUUCUCUGAUGUUAGCGGCGGACGGGUGAGUAACACGUGGAUAACCUACCUAUAAGACUGGGAUAACUUCGGGAAACCGGAGCUAAUACCGGAUAAUAUUUUGAACCGCAUGGUUCAAAAGUGAAAGACGGUCUUGCUGUCACUUAUAGAUGGAUCCGCGCUGCAUUAGCUAGUUGGUAAGGUAACGGCUUACCAAGGCAACGAUGCAUAGCCGACCUGAGAGGGUGAUCGGCCACACUGGAACUGAGACACGGUCCAGACUCCUACGGGAGGCAACAGUAGGGAAUCUUCCGCAAUGGGCGAAAGCCUGACGGAGCAACGCCGCGUGAGUGAUGAAGGUCUUCGGAUCGUAAAACUCUGUUAUUAGGGAAGAACAUAUGUGUAAGUAACUGUGCACAUCUUGACGGUACCUAAUCAGAAAGCCACGGCUAACUACGUGCCAGCAGCCGCGGUAAUACGUAGGUGGCAAGCGUUAUCCGGAAUUAUUGGGCGUAAAGCGCGCGUAGGCGGUUUUUUAAGUCUGAUGUGAAAGCCCACGGCUCAACCGUGGAGGGUCAUUGGAAACUGGAAAACUUGAGUGCAGAAGAGGAAAGUGGAAUUCCAUGUGUAGCGGUGAAAUGCGCAGAGAUAUGGAGAAACACCAGUGGCGAAGGCGACUUUCUGGUCUGUAACUGACGCUGAUGUGCGAAAGCGUGGGGAUCAAACAGGAUUAGAUACCCUGGUAGCCCACGCCGUAAACGAUGAGUGCUAAGUGUUAGGGGGUUUCCGCCCCUUAGUGCUGCAGCUAACGCAUUAAGCACUCCGCCUGGGGAGUACGACCGCAAGGUUGAAACUCAAAGGAAUUGACGGGGACCCGCACAAGCGGUGGAGCAUGUGGUUUAAUUCGAAGCAACGCGAAGAACCUUACCAAAUCUUGACAUCCUUUGACAACUCUAGAGAUAGAGCUUUCCCCUUCGGGGGACAAAGUGACAGGUGGUGCAUGGUUGUCGUCAGCUCGUGUCGUGAGAUGUUGGGUUAAGUCCCGCAACGAGCGCAACCCUUAAGCUUAGUUGCCAUCAUUAAGUUGGGCACUCUAAGUUGACUGCCGGUGACAAACCGGAGGAAGGUGGGGAUGACGUCAAAUCAUCAUGCCCCUUAUGAUUUGGGCUACACACGUGCUACAAUGGACAAUACAAAGGGCAGCGAAACCGUGAGGUCAAGCAAAUCCCAUAAAGUUGUUCUCAGUUCGGAUUGUAGUCUGCAACUCGACUACAUGAAGCUGGAAUCGCUAGUAAUCGUAGAUCAGCAUGCUACGGUGAAUACGUUCCCGGGUCU
RNAcentral lists this ribosomal RNA (1372 nucleotides) under uncultured bacterium. Its description in RNAcentral is "bacterial SSU rRNA". It matches the Rfam family "Bacterial small subunit ribosomal RNA", at positions 28 to 1381 of the family's 1533-position model. The record is from RNAcentral.